AAAUCAACAACCGAAAAACAUAACUGCAAUAUCUAAGCUACCCUCCCCUAAAAUACAUCAAGAAAGACAAAACCUAGAUAGAGCAAUUAACUAUCCCUAUACUACUCCGACUGAGCAAAAGCAAGAUCAGUGCUAACCCUACCCCAAGAUAGCUCCAAGAAGUCCCCGAGGAAUAUCCUUGAGAGGAUUCCACACAGGAGUCCUCCUCCGUCGCAUCCUCUGUGUCAUCUUCCUUAAUUAAAAUCACAAAUGGGGCAUCUCUGCUGGCCCUUGUUGAGGCUAAGGCCAAGUGUUGUGCAACUGGGAUACGAUUUGAAGAUGACAAUAGAUAAGAAGACGAAGGCAGAUCAAAAGACGAUGCGGGAGAAGUAGGGGGAACAUACAUGUACUUGGGAGUAUGAGCAUUAACGAGGAUGAAUGGCAAUGGUAUCUCAAUAGGUGGUACAACAGGCAGUGCACCAAUGGGCAAAAGAGAAAGUACGACAUCACCAAAAAAAGCUAUCUUGGUCAGUGCCAUGAUGAUGAGCCAGUGCCCACCACCAGUCCUAAUGGUGAGAUGAAACAAUGGGUCCCUCUGCGUCUCCAUCUUUAGUUGAAAGACAAAAAGGGUAUGCCAUGCAUGGGCAAGGGAAAGAAGCAAUAGAGUUCUUUCAAAGGACUGUAUUGGAAGGUAUGAAGCCUGAUCAUGUUACUUUUGCUCUGUUAAGUGCUUGUAGCCACUCAGGGCUUGUCAAGGAAGGAAAGUACUACUUUCAAAUUAUGUCUGAUAUUUACGGAGUUAAACCCCAAUUGGAUCACUAUUAAUGUAUGGUUGAUCUUCUUGGCCACCAUGGUCUACUCAUUGAUGCUUAUCUAAUGAUAAAGGAUAUGCCAUUGGAGCCAAAUUGUGGGGACUUUAGGGUGCCCUUCUUGGUGCUUGUAGGGUUUAUCGUAACAUCAAUCUUGGGAAGGAAGCUGCAGAGAAUUUGAUUGCAUUAAAUCCUUCAGACCCUAGAAACUAUAUCAUGCUUUCCAACAUAUAUUCUGCUGCAGGUCUGUGGAGUGAUGCAUCAAAAGUGAGAGCUUUAAUGAAGACUAAAGUUUAUACUAGAAAUGCUAGAUGCAGUUUUAUUGCGCAUGGAAAAAAAAUCUGUUGUUUUGUGGUGGAUGAUUAUUCUCACCCUGACUCAGACAAAAUACACAAGAAGCUGGAAGAGAUUAUGAGAAAAAUUCAAGAGGUUGGUUUUGUGUCUGAAACUGAAUCCAUUCUCCAUGAUGUUGAUGAAGAGGUCAAAACAGAUAUGAUUAACAAGCAUAGUGAGAAGAUAGCACUUGCAUUUGGACUUUUGGUUAGUAAUGCUGAUAUGCCAUUAGUUAUAAUAAAAAAUCUCCAAAUAAGCCAGGAUUGCCUCAACACUGCAAAAUUUGUCUCGCUGAUAGAGAAGUGUACAAUCACUAUCCGAGAUUCAAAGCGAUUUCACCAUUUUUCAGAUGCAUCAUGCUCUUGUGGUGAUUAUUGGUAGUGAUCUCUGAAGGAGUUUGGAGUUGCAGGAAUGAUAUUGUCAUUGGUCGUAACUCAUAUGAGCAACUAGAGAGUUACAUGGUUUUCAGACUUCAAAGCAACACUUUGAUUCUGGCGGAAUUGUGAAGAAUUAAUGUAUGCACAGAGUUCCAAACAAAACGGGAAGAUGCCUGAUGCUGUUUAGCCUACUGGACCUAACUUGUUAAAGCCUUGAGAAAAAUAAGUAUCCUCAUAUUUUAGUACAUCAGAGGUUAUCUUUGCCCAUUUUAUGAUCAGGAUAUGUAAACUUUAAACUGUGAUGUUUGUAAUUUGUUAUACAGAAUAGAUUCUCUCGUGUGAGAUUUUCAUAUGACAAAAAUAUGUGAAGAGAUAGACACAGACACCAUGUCAAAAUAUAUGGGACCUUAUUUAAGUUUCUUGAAUUUAUCUUUCUCUUCAGUCUUCACAUGACCUUGUCAUGUAAAAAUCUCACAUGAGAGGAUUCAUUUCGCUUUGUUAUGCAUGUAAUUGUUCUGUCUCAGUUCUUGACAAACGAACAAUACUAAGCAUAAAAAAAUUGACAGAUGGCAGUAGUUGGAUAAGUUAGAGUUGAUGGAGCUACUCACUUACCUUUGCGUUGAUAACAAUGUCAACUUAUUAUGGCAAAAGAAUUCUGGUUAAUAAUUAUUUUCCUCAAUAAUUUUUGCAGAAUGUCAGUGCAGCAGUUGAACCACAAGCAGAAAGUACUCACAAUCAUCUUCAGUUUAGAACUGUGGAGGGCCAACAAACAGAAUAUCCAUGGAACGGACUCUGAGCUGUGGCCUUAUGGCUACAAAUAUGAAGUUUGACUCAAAUUACUGCUGUUUUUGGCUCUUUAUUCCAAAGCAUUCUUGUCCUUUCUUUCAAUUUUUCCAUUUGUAUGAACUAGUAAAACAUGAAAAAUGUUGGGAUAGGUAGUCAAAUUUGUACAGCAAUUUACAUCCUGCUUUACUUAGUCCUUAUAUUGCCUUAUUAGCAGUUAGGAAUAGAUAAUUUGACUGUGCAUUAUAGUACAAGUAGAUAACCAUAAGUAUUGAUGAAAAAAAAACCAAAUUUGUUGUUUUCUACUAAUCCAUGUACAUACGUAAUUUGUUUGGCAUAGUUAUAACUUUUUCA
Glycine soja is the source of this 2635-nucleotide RNA transcript. It is a transcript of the gene named pentatricopeptide repeat-containing protein At5g40410, mitochondrial-like, with no coding region annotated. Lineage: Eukaryota; Viridiplantae; Streptophyta; Magnoliopsida; Fabales; Fabaceae. The transcript has 4 exons. The record is from RefSeq and is a predicted model, not a curated record.